GGGGAUAUAGCUAAGUUGGUAGAGUGCUUGCCUUGCAUGUAUGAGGCCCUGGGUUGGAUCCCUAGCCCCA
Molecule: transfer RNA, 70 nt
Filed under: Ictidomys tridecemlineatus (thirteen-lined ground squirrel)
Lineage: Eukaryota; Metazoa; Chordata; Mammalia; Rodentia; Sciuridae
Description: Spermophilus tridecemlineatus (thirteen-lined ground squirrel) tRNA
Rfam family: tRNA
About the family: Transfer RNA (tRNA) molecules are approximately 80 nucleotides in length. Their secondary structure includes four short double-helical elements and three loops (D, anti-codon, and T loops).
Source: Rfam by way of RNAcentral